UCAAAAUCAUUCUUCAUGCUUACGUUUAUACUUCAGUUUUCGAGUGCUGCUUCAUUCGAUACCUAGCCCGUACAGGCGCAACUGACUACCAUCCCAUGAAUGGAUGAACAGUAUUUUGGUUGCGCCCCUUUACGAUUGUCAUUCGCUUUCGAGAUGAUUCGUCAUCCGCGUUUGGAGUAUGAUUGACGGUCGAGUACUCGGCAGCGGUUCGGUAGCGGUAGUGGACUGAGUGCGCGAUAAUUUCUCCGCCAUUUGUAAGGAACAGACAUGUUCUGUACAACUUGGGAUAGCAGAAAUCUCGGCAGAAAUUUUAUAUUUAAGGAAACUCAACUCGAAGCUGUGCCGGACAGAGGAGUGAGAGCAGAGAUGACGAAUGCAUUCAACGGCCAUCAUCCGCCUUCCGAAAAAUCAAUGGGACCGUGCCUAGGAGCAGCGGCAUCCGCGUCGUUUAUUCUUUUCCAGCCCAGCCAUAAGCAUCCAUUAUUGCUGCACGCCGCGAGCGGGUUUCCCUCUAAUUCGUUUUUCAUUGAAAGUAUGUAUAUUCAAUGUUAAAAACUGGUUAAUAAAUACUACUGGAAAAUUAUAAACUAUGU
Aedes albopictus (Asian tiger mosquito) is the source of this 593-nucleotide long non-coding RNA. RefSeq lists it as uncharacterized. The record is from RefSeq and is a predicted model, not a curated record. The transcript is spliced from 2 exons. NCBI's taxonomy places the organism in Eukaryota, Metazoa, Arthropoda, Insecta, Diptera, Culicidae.